AAUAGAUACCCGGGUAGUCCACGCCGUAAACGAUGGAUACUAGCUGUGGGGGGGUAUCGACCCCUUCCGUAGCGAAGCUAACGCGUUAAGUAUCCCGCCUGUGGAGUACGGUCGCAAGACUAAAACAUAAAGGAAUUGACGGGGACCCGCACAAGCGGUGGAUUGUGUUCUUUAAUUCGAUGAUAAACGACGAACCUUACCAGGGCUUGACAUCCCUUAAAUUUUGCCGAAAGGCGAGAGUGCUUUAUUGAAUAAGGUGACAGGUGAUGCAUGGCCGUCGUCAGCUCGUGUCGUGAGAUGUUUGGUUAAGUCCAUCAACGAGCGCAACCCUUGUGAAUAGUUGUAUUUUUCUAUUCAGACUGCCCCGGCAACGGGGAGGAAGGAGGGGAUGAUGUCAGGUCAGUAUUUCCCUUACGUCCUGGGCUAGAAACGCAAUACAAUGGCCAGUACAAUGCGCAGCGAAGCCGCGAGGUGAAGCAAAUCGCAUCAAAGCUGGUCCCAGUUCGGAUAAGAGGCUGAAACUCGCCUCUUGAAGUCGGAAUCGCUAGU
RNAcentral lists this ribosomal RNA (549 nucleotides) under uncultured bacterium. Its description in RNAcentral is "bacterial SSU rRNA". It matches the Rfam family "Bacterial small subunit ribosomal RNA", at positions 777 to 1339 of the family's 1533-position model. The record is from RNAcentral.